RNAcentral lists this ribosomal RNA (468 nucleotides) under uncultured bacterium. RNAcentral's name for it is "partial 16S ribosomal RNA". It matches the Rfam family "Bacterial small subunit ribosomal RNA", at positions 28 to 507 of the family's 1533-position model. The record is from RNAcentral.
GACGAACGCUGGCGGCGUGCUUAACACAUGCAAGUCGAACGGAAAGGCCCUGCUUUUGUGGGGUGCUCGAGUGGCGAACGGGUGAGUAACACGUGAGUAACCUGCCCUUGACUUUGGGAUAACUUCAGGAAACUGGGGCUAAUACCGGAUAGGAGCUCCUGCUGCAUGGUGGGGGUUGGAAAGUUUCGGCGGUUGGGGAUGGACUCGCGGCUUAUCAGCUUGUUGGUGGGGUAGUGGCUUACCAAGGCUUUGACGGGUAGCCGGCCUGAGAGGGUGACCGGCCACAAUGGGACUGGGGAUCGGCCCAGACUCCUACGGGGGGCAGGAGGGGGGGAUAUUGCACAAUGGGGGGAAGCCUGAUGCAGCAACGCCGCGGGGGGGAAGACGGCCUUCGGGUUUUAAACCGCUUUCGCCUGGGACGAAGCGUGAGUGACGGUAAUGGGUAAAGAAGCACCGGCUAACUACGUG